RNAcentral lists this long non-coding RNA (384 nucleotides) under Salvia miltiorrhiza (redroot sage). RNAcentral's name for it is "long non-coding RNA (SMIL_LNC012181)". Lineage: Eukaryota; Viridiplantae; Streptophyta; Magnoliopsida; Lamiales; Lamiaceae. The record is from RNAcentral.
AAUGGAGCAGCAAGCUUGUAGUUGGACUUGGGAGGAGCAGGAAUAGAAACAUGCUCUAUAGCAGCAGAAAUAUGAGGGAUGCUAAAAUCCUCCUUUGGAGUAGAGGGCUUAUCAACUGCUAUUUUCUCAAUCUCCUCAUCUUUCUCCUCGGCAUCCUGCAGCUUUGAAUAUGACUGAUGCUGAGCACGCAUGUCCGAUUCUUCGAGCAAUCUUUCCAGAUCUUCCACUAUACGCCUAUACUCUGAGGGACACACCAGUCAAACAUCAGGAGCCAUGAAAUAAAAAAAAAUAAAAAAAAGCCUGAAAUAAUGCCUAAGUCCUAUCAAAAAUAUUAAAGUAAAUUCUACACAGUCCCCGGCAACGGCGCCAAAAAGUUGAUCACUA